GAUGAACGCUGACAGAAUGCUUAACACAUGCAAGUCGACUCGAGUCUUCGGACUUGGGUGGCGCACGGGUGAGUAACGCGUAAAGAACUUGCCUCUUAGACCGGGACAACAUCUGGAAACGGAUGCUAAUACCGGAUAUUAUGGUUUUUUCGCAUGGAGGAAUCAUGAAAGCUAGAUGCGCUAAGAGAGAGCUUUGCGUCCCAUUAGCUGGUUGGUGAGGUAACGGCCCACCAAGGCAAUGAUGGGUAGCCGGCCUGAGAGGGUGAACGGCCACAAGGGGACUGAGACACGGCCCUUACUCCUACGGGAGGCAGCAGUGGGGAAUAUUGGACAAUGGACCGCAAGUCUGAUCCAGCAAUUCUGUGUGCACGAUGACGUUUUUCGGAAUGUAAAGUGCUUUCAGUCGGGAAGAAGUCAGUGACGGUACCGACAGAAGAAGCGACGGCUAAAUACGUGCCAGCAGCCGCGGUAAUACGUAUGUCGCAAGCGUUAUCCGGAUUUAUUGGGCGUAAAGCGCGUCUAGGCGGCAAGGAAAGUCUGAUGUGAAAAUGCGGAGCUCAACUCCGUAUGGCGUUGGAAACUGCCUUACUAGAGUACUGGGAGAGGUAGGCGGAACUACAAGUGUAGAGGUGAAAUUCGUAUAUAUUUGUAGGAAUGCCGAUGGGGAAGCCAGCCUACUGGACAGAUACUGACGCUGAAGCGCGAAAGCGUGGGUAUCAAACAGG
RNAcentral lists this ribosomal RNA (725 nucleotides) under uncultured Fusobacterium sp. RNAcentral describes it as "bacterial SSU rRNA". It matches the Rfam family "Bacterial small subunit ribosomal RNA", at positions 28 to 776 of the family's 1533-position model. The record is from RNAcentral. Lineage: Bacteria; Fusobacteriati; Fusobacteriota; Fusobacteriia; Fusobacteriales; Fusobacteriaceae.